CCCUUAGAUGUUCUGGGCCGCACACGCGCUACACUGAAGGAGGCAGCGUGUACUCCUGGAUCGAAAGAUUUGGGUAACCCGUGAAUCUCCUUCGUGCUAGGGAUUGAGGUUUGCAAUUAUCCUUCAUGAACGAGGAAUUCCCAGUAAGUGCAAGUCAUAAGCUUGCGCUGACUACGUCCCUGCCCUUUGUACACACCGCCCGUCGCUACUACCGAUUGAAUGAUUUAGUGAGGACUUCGGACUGGGACCGAUGCGGCUUUCGGGCUGCGUCGGUAUUCUGGAAAGAUGUCCAAACUGUAUCAUUUAGAGGAAGUAAAAGUCGUAACA
Molecule: ribosomal RNA, 327 nt
Filed under: uncultured eukaryote
Lineage: Eukaryota
Description: partial 18S ribosomal RNA
Rfam family: Eukaryotic small subunit ribosomal RNA
Source: RNAcentral